GGGGGGGGGGGUGGUUUGCAGGGAAGAAUGGGCUAACAGUAAAGACAGAAUAAACCCCAGUCAGCCUUGAAUAGCCUGUACAUGUAUUAUUACUACAGCUCAAGCCUAAUGAGCUCAGCUGUUAGUAUGUUGAUGAUGCUUAAAGAGAAUUAAUGGAUUAAUGAAGUCCCCCAACUAGGAAUGUGGACACAGUUCACUUGCAGUAGCAGCAAUAAAUAUGGCAUGGCCUGAAAUCUUGGGGAGGAGUUAUAUGAAGCCAUAAUUAAUUAAAAUAUCAUCAAUUUAUCUUUGUCACCUAAAGAACUACUAAACUUAAAAGACUGAUUUCAAUUUUAUGCAUGCACCUAGGGGCAGCCACCAGGCUAGUUUCAGUUCAAGGUUCAGGGGAAUCGGGACUAAACUGCAAGAUCCUCUCUAUUCUAGUUUUGAUCAAAUCCAACGGUUGAAAUUUUUUAUUUUUGAAAGGGAAAAACUCAGCUUUUGGCUGAUUUCAUCAGGUUUUGACUAGUUUCAAUUUUAGGUUGGACUGGUCCAGUUCUAAACCAGAUUGUGGCCAAGCUACAUGCAGCCAAAUGUAUGUAGUUGUGCAUGUACAUUAAUAAGGUUAAAAAAUAACCAUUUUUAUUCUCUUUUAACAAAAUUAAAAAGAAAAUAAAAUUAGUAGAUAUUAUUUGCAUAACUUCUGCAAAACCCCAAAAAAAGUUCAUAAUGAAAGAAAUCAUGCCAUUUUAAUAACAAUUAACCCCCAUAGAAAAUGUCAUUGAAGAACACUGGCUAACAUUGAUUAAUCAAGAUCUAAGAUGUUCAAAGAUCCAAAGUUUUCUUUUAGACGAUAGGCCCCAUUCAUUGUGAUAACCUUUGAAUCUUCAAACAAUAGAUGAACAAAUGCAGGAAAACUUGCAAGUCAAAGAGUUAAGGCUGAAAUUUGAGGUUUUGUUGAAGACUUGAAGUCUAAAGUAGGCAAAAAUUUAGUUGGAAAUUUCAGGUUUAGAAGAGUAUAGGUCUGGGAAGUUAAACUAGUAUGAGAACCAAGGUUUUUGGUAGGGGUGAGCAGAAUUCGAUUCAAAUCGAAAAAUCGAUGCGAUUUAAUUCAGAAAUUAGGAUUUGUUUUCUCAGUUAAUAGGUUUGGUUUUUUAUUUUAAGGAAUUUGGUCUAUUUGGUUCGUUUUUUUGAGGGGAAAAUGGUAGAACCAAACCAAA
Molecule: unclassified non-coding RNA, 1199 nt
Filed under: Hevea brasiliensis (rubber tree)
Lineage: Eukaryota; Viridiplantae; Streptophyta; Magnoliopsida; Malpighiales; Euphorbiaceae
Source: RNAcentral